Molecule: ribosomal RNA, 464 nt
Filed under: uncultured Saprospiraceae bacterium
Lineage: Bacteria; Pseudomonadati; Bacteroidota; Saprospiria; Saprospirales; Saprospiraceae
Description: bacterial SSU rRNA
Rfam family: Bacterial small subunit ribosomal RNA
Source: RNAcentral
GAUGAACGCUAGCGGCAGGCCUAAUACAUGCAAGUCGAGGGAGAAGAUUACUUCGGUAAUUGGAAACCGGCGCACGGGUGAGUAACGCGUACAUAACCUGCCCCGUACACAGGGAUAGCCCCGGGAAACUGGGAGUAAUACCUGAUAGUCCGCUUCGGCGGUAAAGCUCCGGCGGUACGGGAUGGGUGUGCGUCCCAUUAGCUAGUUGGUAAGGUAACGGCUUACCAAGGCAACGAUGGGUAGGGGGCGUGAGAGCGUGGCCCCCCACACGGGUACUGAGACACGGACCCGACUCCUACGGGAGGCAGCAGUAAGGAAUAUUGGUCAAUGGAGGCAACUCUGAACCAGCCAUGCCGCGUGAAGGAUGACUGCCCUAUGGGUUGUAAACUUCUUUUAUACGGGAAGAAAAGCUCCUUUUCCAAGGGGUCUGACGGUACCGUACGAAUAAGCACCGGCUAACUCCG